RNAcentral lists this ribosomal RNA (471 nucleotides) under uncultured soil bacterium. RNAcentral's name for it is "bacterial SSU rRNA". It matches the Rfam family "Bacterial small subunit ribosomal RNA", at positions 26 to 460 of the family's 1533-position model. The record is from RNAcentral.
AGAUUGAACGCUGGCGGCAUGCCUAACACAUGCAAGUCGAGCGGGAGUAGCAAGUACUCUAGUGGCGGACGGGUGAGGAAUACGUAGGAAUUUGCCCUUAAGUGGGGGAUAACCCGGGGAAACCCGGAUUAAUACCGCAUGACCUCGAAAGAGCAAAGUGGGGGAUCGCAAGACCUCACGCUUUUGGAGAAGCCUACGUCGGAUUAGCUAGUUGGUGAGGUAAUGGCUCACCAAGGCGACGAUCCGUAACUGGUCUGAGAGGAUGAUCAGUCACACCGGGACUGAGACACGGUCCGGACUCCUACGGGAGGCAGCAGUGGGAAUAUUGGACAAUGGGCGCAAGCCUGAUCCAGCAAGUGCCGCGUGUGUGAACGAAGGUCCGUUCGGGUUAGUAAAGGCUAACGUUUAAAGGUUAGGGAAAGUAAAAAACUCGACGUCUAACACAGUGAGUCUAGACGUACGACAGAAUAA